This 754-nucleotide transfer-messenger RNA is filed under the name Geobacillus subterraneus. The stretch from base 1 to 96 matches the Rfam family "transfer-messenger RNA", at positions 278 to 374 of the family's 374-position model. Lineage: Bacteria; Bacillati; Bacillota; Bacilli; Caryophanales; Anoxybacillaceae. The record is from RNAcentral.
CGGAACGAACGGCGAAGCGAAAUAUACCGACUACGCUCGUAGAUGCUUAAGUGGCGAUGCCUCUGGACGUGGGUUCGACUCCCACCGUCUCCAUUUCCAACAUGUUGCUGUUUCGGAUGAAGAAUGGUGAACUGCUUGAUGCGACCGUGUUUGCGGUCGUUUUUGCUUUUUCAAGAAUCCGAAAGAAGCCAGCGAAUGGGCGAAAAUUUUGCGAGGAUUUUGCACCGUGUUUUUUGCCUUGCAUUGUAUACGAGUUCGACAGUGACCAAGUAAACAAAAUGCCUCUCAUCCCUUGAUGCCAAAGGGACGAGAGGCAUUUGGGCAUCCUUCCAGCCUGUAUCUAGGAGGCUGGUGAUUUAGUGCAAAAACGACGGAUUCCACUCAUUUCUCAAUUAGAAAAACCUUGCAGAAUCCGCUUUCUCUUCUGAAUGAAAAUGCCGCCGACCUGGAGUUGACAGUGGUUUUUCACCGGCCUUCUAGGAGGCUGGUGAUUUAAUCGUGGAUACCGCUUUACAAUGUUAUUUCUCAUUUAGAAAAGCCUUGUUACAUCGGUCCUGCUUUUCGCUCAUUCUCCCAUUGAUGGAAAGGAAUCAGCGGUUUUUCACCGGCCUUCUAGGGGCGAGGAUGGAUGCCUACAAUCUUCGGAGGCGGCCUCAGCUCUAGCUCCGCCAAGAGCUGCACUUGUCCUAACCAAGGAAUCGAGUCCAUGUCGCCUUUUUGGUUUGUCUGUGAAUUUAUGUUAGGGAAUUUGUCG